UGGGAGAUGGUGAAAUGGUAUCACUACUGACUCUGGAUCCGUCGUUCGGGGUUCGAAUCCCUGUCUCCCAGCCU
Molecule: transfer RNA, 74 nt
Filed under: Candidatus Zixiibacteriota bacterium
Lineage: Bacteria; Pseudomonadati; Candidatus Zixiibacteriota
Description: candidate division Zixibacteria bacterium tRNA-Gln
Rfam family: tRNA
About the family: Transfer RNA (tRNA) molecules are approximately 80 nucleotides in length. Their secondary structure includes four short double-helical elements and three loops (D, anti-codon, and T loops).
Source: RNAcentral